Schistocerca cancellata (South American locust) is the source of this 1233-nucleotide long non-coding RNA. RefSeq lists it as uncharacterized. The record is from RefSeq and is a predicted model, not a curated record. NCBI's taxonomy places the organism in Eukaryota, Metazoa, Arthropoda, Insecta, Orthoptera, Acrididae. The transcript has 7 exons.
CCCACGCCAAGUUCUUCAACUGACGGUAGCGGGACUGAGCACAUGUGUUGAGCCAUGCAGACUGUGAGAGGAUUACUUCAGUUUGCAAUCAGUGGGACACAUUAUUGUACGUCAGGACGCCUUGUGACGCGCAAAGGCCUAUAUUCAGACAGUAUGGAACUUGUGGAAGAAUGCAUAAGUAUACCUGCAAGUUACGAAAUCGUUUUCUUAUUGGGGAGUGAAGAACUUAUGUAGAGACUGGAAGGGUUAUAGUGCAGCCAUCACAUCUUUUCGAGGUUAUCGUCAGUUAAAUAAUGAAGCAUACCCAUCGUUUGCUCCCACAUGGAAUGUGGAGAGGAUGGACAUAAGUUACUUCAUGAUAAUGGAGUCUGAUCUUGUUAGAAAAGUUGUUGAGUGUUCCAAGGGAUGUACUGUGCCAUGAAAACAUGAGUGGUUUUCUGUCCGAACGAUGCAGCUGGAAAUUAGCACGUGGGGAAAUAUUGUUGAGGAUAGAAAUUUGUAAGGUGUAAGCCACUCGGGGAGACCCGAAUAGUUAAUGAAUGCUGUGGAGUUCUUUAAAAGGUCAGUGCCUGUGGCUUUGGGAGGUGAGAUUAAGAUUACAGCUUCGGUAUCUUCAGAUCAAAAUGGAGUGAUGUGAAUAGUUGUGGCUUUAUUGAAUUACUGACAACCUAGUUAGGGAAAAGGAAGGCUUGUUAAUGCAGAUUAUUUCACAGGACUAAUGUGGGUUGGACCUACAAGGUGAGAAAAGUAAUGAGGCUGACAGUACUGUGAACAAUCUGGUAACACUGUGUGCUUGUGUAGCCUGUUGUGUUCAUCCCUUCUAGAUGUUCAGUGGUUCAUCUCCAUAUGGCCAUCAUGUGAUUUUUGAGACUGCCAUCGGUGAAGUUUUUUUAUAAGUGGAACAUUGGAAUUUAGAGCAACAUUAUUCCAUAAAGUUUUGUGUUAAACUUGGGGAAUCUGUAUGUCUUAAAGAGUGUCAUUUUGGAACUUUGGAGAACAUUCAAAAGAAGUGACCGGUGUGCAGCACUGCUACCAAGACUGGGAACUGACUCUGCUGGUAAACAGCUGCCAACAGGAACUAAUUUGAAGGGGAUAAUAUUGUUGUUUGAAAAAAUAAAAAUUCCUAGAGAAAGUCUCAUUACUGUUUUCAUGCAACUCAUAUGUUGUAUUAAAUAUGUAGUUGUCAGUACCUGUAUCUGUAAGGUUUGAAAAUAAAAUGUGGUGACUCCAGUA